GACGAACGCUUGCGGCGUGCUUAACACAUGCAAGUCGAACGGAAAGGCCCUGCUUUUGUGGGGUGCUCGAGUGGCGAACGGGUGAGUAACACGUGAGUAACCUGCCCUUGACUUUGGGAUAACUUCAGGAAACUGGGGCUAAUACCGGAUAGGAGCUCCUGCUGCAUGGUGGGGGUUGGAAAGUUUCGGCGGUUGGGGAUGGACUCGCGGCUUAUCAGCUUGUUGGUGGGGUAGUGGCUUACCAAGGCUUUGACGGGUAGCCGGCCUGAGAGGGUGACCGGCCACAUUGGGACUGAGAUACGGCCCAGACUCCUACGGGAGGCAGCAGUGGGGAAUAUUGCACAAUGGGCGGAAGCCUGAUGCAGCAACGCCGCGUGCGGGAUGACGGCCUUCGGGUUGUAAACCGCUUUCGCCUGUGACGAAGCGUGAGUGACGGUAAUGUGUAAAGAAGCACCGGCUAACUACGUGCCAGCAGCCGCGGUGAUACGUAGGGUGCGAGCGUUGUCCGGAUUUAUUGGGCGUAAAGGGCUCGUAGGUGGUUGAUCGCGUCGGAAGUGUAAUCUUGGGGCUUAACCCUGAGCGUGCUUUCGAUACGGGUUGACUUGAGGAAGGUAGGGGAGAAUGGAAUUCCUGGUGGAGCGGUGGAAUGCGCAGAUAUCAGGAGGAACACCAGUGGCGAAGGCGGUUCUCUGGGCCUUUCCUGACGCUGAGGAGCGAAAGCGUGGGGAGCGAACAGGCUUAGAUACCCUGGUAGUCCACGCUGUAAACGGUGGGUACUAGGUGUGGGGUCCAUUCCACGGGUUCCGUGCCGUAGCUAACGCUUUAAGUACCCCGCCUGGGGAGUACGGCCGCAAGGCUAAAACUCAAAGGAAUUGACGGGGCCCCGCACAAGCGGCGGAGCAUGCGGAUUAAUUCGAUGCAACGCGUAGAACCUUACCUGGGUUUGACAUGGAUCGGGAGUGCUCAGAGAUGGGUGUGCCUCUUUUGGGGUCGGUUCACAGGUGGUGCAUGGCUGUCGUCAGCUCGUGUCGUGAGAUGUUGGGUUAAGUCCCGCAACGAGCGCAACCCUUGUUCACUGUUGCCAGCACGUUAUGGUGGGGACUCAGUGGAGACCGCCGGGGUCAACUCGGAGGAAGGUGGGGAUGACGUCAAGUCAUCAUGCCCCUUAUGUCCAGGGCUUCACGCAUGCUACAAUGGCUGGUACAGAGAGUGGCGAGCCUGUGAGGGUGAGCGAAUCUCGGAAAGCCGGUCUCAGUUCGGAUUGGGGUCUGCAACUCGACCUCAUGAAGUCGGAGUCGCUAGUAAUCGCAAAUCAGCAACGCUGCGGUGAAUACGUUCCCGGGGC
This 1345-nucleotide ribosomal RNA is filed under the name uncultured bacterium. RNAcentral's name for it is "partial 16S ribosomal RNA". It matches the Rfam family "Bacterial small subunit ribosomal RNA", at positions 28 to 1380 of the family's 1533-position model. The record is from RNAcentral.